CCUACGGGAGGCAGCAGUGGGGGAUAUUGCACAAUGGGGGGAACCCUGAUGCAGCGACGCCGCGUGGGUGAAGGAGCGUUUCGGCGCGUAAAGCCCUAUCGGCAGGGAAGCAGGAGGACGGUACCUGACUAAGAAGCCCCGGCUAACUACGUGCCAGCCGCCGCGGUACUACAUAGGGGGCAAGCGUUAUCCGGCUUUACUGGGUGUAAAGGGGGCGCAGACGGCAGCGCAAGCCAGGAGGGAAAGCCCGGGGCCCAACCCCGGGACUGCUCUUGAAACUGGGCGGCGGGAGUGCAGGAGGGGCAGGCGGAAUUCCUGGUGUAGCGGUGAAAUGCGUAGAGAUCAGGAGGAACACCGGUGGCGAAGGCGGCCUGCUGGACUGCGACUGACGUUGAGGCCCGAAAGCGUGGGGAGCAAACAGGAUUAGAUACCCUUGUAGUC
Molecule: ribosomal RNA, 441 nt
Filed under: uncultured bacterium
Lineage: Bacteria
Description: partial 16S ribosomal RNA
Rfam family: Bacterial small subunit ribosomal RNA
Source: RNAcentral